Molecule: ribosomal RNA, 157 nt
Filed under: Striaria attenuata
Lineage: Eukaryota; Phaeophyceae; Ectocarpales; Chordariaceae
Description: nuclear SSU rRNA
Rfam family: Eukaryotic small subunit ribosomal RNA
Source: RNAcentral
UGUGAAACUGCGAAUGGCUCAUUAUAUCAGUCAUAGUUUAUUUGAAAGUCCCUUACUACAUGGAUAACCGUAGUAAUUCUAGAGCUAAUACAUGCAUAAAAGCCAAACUGCCUCGGCGGACUGGUUGCAUUGAUUAGACCGAAACCAAUGCGUCUUC